Molecule: long non-coding RNA, 5243 nt
Filed under: Pongo abelii (Sumatran orangutan)
Lineage: Eukaryota; Metazoa; Chordata; Mammalia; Primates; Hominidae
Description: lncRNA (ENSPPYG00000035832.1)
Source: RNAcentral
UAUCUCUUUCUUUAUAGUAUUUUUUACUAUAAAGAAAACAGUCUUUCUGUGUAUACCUACAGAUGAGGGUAUUAUUUAAACUGCCAACAAUAUCCAAGACAUGGUCAAUAAUCUAAUUAUAAAUACUUUAGAAAGAGUGACCAGGACAUGUAUAGAAAUGUCUGCUUACCUGUAAACUUUAAAAACAACAACAAAAAACAAACAAAAUUUUUAGAGCAUUUAAUCAUUUUUUUUCUCCUUUGAAUGAUCUCCUUUGUAAUCUUAUUGUCUUCUGAGUAAAUAUACACAUAAAUAAGUGUUUGGGGAUUCAUUGCUGCUAGAUUAUAUCAGCUGUUUACAUAGUGUCUACUAUAUGCUGUUGAUAAGCUUUUUCCUAAAAAUAGUUAUCCUCUUUUGUAGUUUUUUUCCCUCCUUUAAAUCUGGCUAGAUUUUCUUACUUCAGUUUUUAUAGAACACCAACUAAAUUUGAAAGUAUGAAGUCUCUAGCCCUCUUAACACUGUUUCUGGCUGUUUAAUCCUUGCUGCCUUUGCAAGUCCUGGUGAAAGCAAUGGGGAGCUUUGCUGGCUGGUUUUGUAGUCUCAACAAUUCCAUGUCUGUGUUUAGCUGAGUAACUGCUAUCAUUUAGAACAGUAAAAUUUUUAUAGAUUUCAAAUUUGAAAAUUCAUAUACACUCAGUUAUCUAAUAAGGGGCCACCGACGCUGUUUUUAAAACUAUUUUGAAGUUAUAAAAAGGUAGAACAUCUGACUGAUGUUGUUCACAUAAAGAGACAGACAGACUAUCAUGUUGCAGACAUGAAAACAGCAUGUCAGGUUUUUCCUUUCCUUCCAUGCCAUGGGCUACCCAUCUCUUCCCACUAGAUCACCUGGUGAGGAGGGAGCACCUGGCUGACUCAUGCAGAGUUUGGCCAAUCAGAGAAUUGUGUGGUCUCUAGCUCUACUUUCCUUAAACAAAUCCUUUCUGUUUUCUGAGCUUCAGUGCUAAAACAGAUCCCUAAAAGGUAAUAGCAUCUUCCAGACUAGUUUAAUUAUUUCCUUUAUAAGAAUAUGACAUAAAUUUUUAUUAUAGAAAUAAUGUCAUUAUAAUUUUAGUGCUAGUACUUGUGGGUUUUCCGUAUUUGAAUCACCUUGAAAUUUGUUGCAUGAAUAGAAAAUACUUAUUUAUUCAUGUUUUCAAUCACCUAAAAUUAUUUUAAAUUUAUUUUGGGUUUGUGAGAGAUAAUAAGAUCAAGAACUUCAUCAUUUCAGUGACUUUCCUCCAACUCUCCGAAUCUGCUACCUCUUAUUAUAUGUCCCUUAGCAGUACUUUUCCAGUUAGGUUCGUUACCCUCCUCAUUAGCUAAACCUCUUUAUCUUGUGCCUCAAAAGAGCUUUUACUUUUCUUAGAAAUAUUUAUAAAAAAGAAAAAAACUGACACGCAUUCAUUCAAAAAAGUAUUUAUUGGGUUUCAGGGAUUAGAUACACAACAGUGGAAAAAUGGCAUCUUAGCACACUCAGAAUUUAUUGUGCAGCAGUUGUGUAUUUUAAGGAAUCUGUAGUUAAAAGGAAGAGAUCCAAAGGUCCUGAUAACAUUUCCUAAUGUUUCAGAAGAGUUGUCAUUGAGUAGUGUUUGGAUUUCCUCUCUGUACCCCUCAACCUACCAUUUUCUCCUUUAUUCUUCUAAGAUUGUUAGUGUUGUUACUCAAAACAGACAAUUACAACAUACCAGAUGGUGCUAUUCUAAUGGUAUCUGUUCACGUAAUUUAACAUUCUUACUGCUUAUACUAUAUACAUAUUUAAUUUUGUUGGAAGCAAGAAGGUUUUCAAGAAAAGAUAAUUUUGUAUUAGUGUAGGAAUAUAUUAGACAAAUGUUUAGUUGGUCAAAUUAUGCAUAAGAUAUUUGUAACUUUAAACAUUGCAAAUUGACCAGCUAGCUAUGGAAGCAUAAAAUUAAUUGAUAAUUAAUGUUGGAAAUACAUUUCUUAAAUUUAUAUUUUUAUGGUGUUAGCCCGUAAGAGCCUUUUAGCAUAUUGAAAUGCAUGCUGCUUAAGAUGUGUCUGGUUCAAAUAUCAAAGCUUGCUGGGUCAUUUUUACAUAGUAGAAACAUACUGUCUAUGUGUUGCCCAAUUGCUGUUUGUCUGUUCUGAAUUCUGGACCCUUUUUGGACUGGAAAUUAGUUAAAUUCAUGAACUAAGAGAAUUAGAGAUGGGGUAGAGUAGGAUCAGGACAGUGGGUUACAGCAGAUAGGAAAGGAAAGUCAGCAUUUGAGUGUAGAGAAAAAAAGAGGAUCAUAUAGAUGUCAUCAAAUUAUAGGCUUUAAUACAGGUUGCUUUUUUUUAAUUCAAAAGGAAAAGCACUUAUCCUAUCAGAAUGUCUACCAUGUUUUAUAGUAAUAAUUUGUGUAAAAAAUUGAAUUUUUGAAUAGUUUUUUGUAUUUUUUGUGAUGAAAAACUCAUAACAUAAAAUUUACCAUAUUAACUGUUUCUAAAGAAUACAGUUCAGCCAUGUUAAGUACAUUUACAUUGUUGUGAAACAGAUCUCCAGAACUUUUUCAUCUUGCAAAACUGAAACUCCAUACCCGUUAAACAACUCCCCUUUUUGUUUUCUCCUCAGUGGAAUAGAAUUUUGACUCCAUAUAAAUCAAGAAACACCUAAAUUCUUUAGUUGUUUAUGUUUGCAAGAUCUAAGAUCAUGGUAAACAUUAAGUUCUUAAAAUUUUUGGGAGGGACAGUGCACCUCUCCUCUGAAUUGUUAGCAAUUAAAUUGAGUAGGUUUUAAAUGUCUAGUCAUUGGAAGGGUUUGUUAUUUCAUUUUGAGCCAGAGGGGAGAGGCACAUUUUAAAUAUCAGAAUUAGAUUAGCUUUGAGUUUGUACAAUUGGGAACAUAAUAGAUUUUCAUAAAUUAUGUGUGCCUUGUUGGAAUGUCAGCUGUCUUUAUGUCUGCUUGUAAACGUUUCAAAAUAUGUUUUCCCUCAAAAAGGCAACGUUACUUCAUUUGCUUGAAUAUUAUGAUAGGAAUGCUUACUGAUAUUACUUGAUAGUCAUAUAUAGCCUAGGAACUUUAACAUAUGUAUAACUAUAGCAGUAUUAAUAAUGAUAGUUGUACUUCUUUAAAACAUUAAAUUUGAGGAAACUUUAAUGCUGUCUCGUGUACAUUGCUUUACUACAGUGAGGGGGAAUAUCCUUUAGAUUGAGCCUCAAUUUACUGGUUAGUAGUAUGUGAAACUCUGGUAUAAAAACGUGAACUAGACAGUAGAGCCGAUGAAUUAAAAUUGUAAAUUGCUACAUUGGCAUUUUCUACCUCCUUUUCUGUCAGAGUAUUACUUUUUCCAGCAUUUAUUCUUAUUUGUGAGUAAAGAGGAAAUGGGAACCUGAGGUUAAAAUUGACAUUUUUGUUUCAUUGAGAAUUUAAGCAGUAGGUACAGGAGAAGUGACUUGUCACAUUAAUUUGGUGCCUAAAUCUGUAACUACAAGUUGUGAUCGACAUGUACAAAAUGUCUAAGAAAGGUCAUAUGCUGAAUAUUUUACUUUUCCUGUAUAGUCUGCAUGAUUUGUUUCAUAAACCCAGCUUAUUUCCUCCAAAAAGCAAAAUGGUCCUGUAAUUUUUAAAGUAAAAUAAACGUGCCAUUUUGUCUGCAAUCUAUAAUUUCAGGAAGUUAUUGAAAGUUCUGACUCAGGGCUUUUUAACAGUUCAAGCAAUUGUCAGUUAUAUUUUGGAAACUCCAUCUGUGUAAUUCUCCAGUGCCUUGAAAGAAUUAUUAACUUGGCAACACUAUUAAAACUUUAUAAAAGAUGGUCUUUAGUGCACGUGUAUCAUUGUAUACACAUUUUAAAGUCAUAUUGCUUAGCUUGUUAAUAAUGAUUCUGCAUGUGUGCUGGGUUUGGGUAAUUCUUUAAAGGAAGUUUUCUAGAUUUGUACUUGAUGUUUGUUUUUUAAAAACUGAUUAUUUAUGGCCAUGACACUGUUACCAGAAAAGUAAUUCUGAUUAAGUUAUUAUGCAAAGUCAUCUAUAAGUAGCAUCUGGGAAGAGGAGAUCGAGGCCAGUUUGCUAUUUUAGUAUGAAAGGAGGAUCUGUUUGGGAAACAUAGAUUGUCUUCCCCUCAAAUGAGGGGGGAAAAAAAAAGACCCUUUGUUCAAAUGGAUUCUGUUUUAAAAAAUUAUUUUUAAAGGAAAUCACAAAUUGCAUGUCAUUCUUAAUGCUAGUCUUAUAGACUAAAUCCAUAAAAUUGUUUUUAUGUUCAGUAUGUUUGUGUCAUUCUAAAUGCGGCAAAUUCAAUGAUAGCAGUUCAAUUGACUCAUAGCAGUGUUUUGUAUUUUUUCUGAUUCUUUAGCUUUCAGUAUUGGAUUAAAGCCUUGUUUGUGAGUAUAGUUUCUGUAUGGCACAUGAUUUCUUGCUUAUUAGCUUUUGUUAAAGAAUGCUUAGUAAGAGCUAAGCUUUUAAAAGUAAUGCAAACAUUUAUCGUUAAUAAAACCUAUGGUGUAAUAUCAUAUAAUGCUUUUCUUUGAUCUUUUGAGAAUUAUUCUUUUAUAGUAGUAUACAUGAAUUUUGAUUUUUAAAGCAUUUAAAAACAAAUCUCAAUACAUUAAAAAACUUGUUAUUGUUAAAAAGGAAAUUACCAUGCCUUUAAGAAACAAGGAUGUACAUCUUCAACUCAGCAUGUGUCCACAUCUAGAAGGCUCUCAUUGCAGUUGUUUACAAUUAAGGUACCUCUAUCUAAAGGGCCAAAGAAGCAUUUCAUAUUUUAACACCUCACAUUCUUUCAGGAUUAAGACAUAUGAAAAUAGUCUGAAUAGGAUAAAUUUGAUAGGAAGUAAAUUAACCAGUCUGGAAGAUUCAGCUUUUUCUAAAAAAAGAUUAUUCCUCUUCACAACUCAGAUGUAGAUUUCAUUUUCAAGAGGUAGACAUUUUAAAGCAAUGAUCUAUUUGGGUUUUAGUUUUAUGAGUAAAUCAUUAAUUGUAUGGUUUGGGGGUUAUUUUAUUUUCCAUGUUAAUAUAAGCACUUAUUUCUGAAGUUAUUGAGAGGUCAUCUAGCUCCAGUUCAAAAGAUUAUGUAUAUCUGAUGUUUAAGAGGAAAAACAUCUGAAAAAAUAUCUUUUGUUUAUUUGAAAAAAGCAUAUAUAUUCCAACUUUAAAAUUGUGAAUUUAUUUUGAGUAACCUCUAAUUAACUGUAUUUUUUUUGUUUCUGUUGCUGUAUAAUUAGAAAUUUCAUGGCAAUAUUUUUUACUAAAUUGAAACUGUAUAGGUUUCAAAAAUAAAGACAUUUU